RNAcentral lists this ribosomal RNA (860 nucleotides) under uncultured bacterium. RNAcentral describes it as "bacterial SSU rRNA". It matches the Rfam family "Bacterial small subunit ribosomal RNA", at positions 87 to 964 of the family's 1533-position model. The record is from RNAcentral.
CGGCUCUAGUGGCGAACGGCGGAGUAAUACGUGAACAACGUGCCCCUAAGUCCGGGACAAACGCAGAAAUGCCAUAAAUACCGGAUGUGGUCAGGAUGAUGCAUAUCGAUCUGAUUAAAGGUUUUUCGCUUAGGGAGCGGUUCACGGCCUAUCAGCUAGUUGGCGGGGUAAAAGCCCACCAAGGCGACGACGGGUAGGGGGUCUAAGAGGAUGAUCCCCCCGAGUGGGACUGAGACACGGCCCACACACCUACGGGUGGCAGCAGUUGGGAAUCUUGCACAAUGGGGGAAACCCUGAUGCAGCGACGCCGCGUGGAGGAUGAAUGGUCUAGGCCUGUAAACUCCUUUUACCAGGAAAGACUUAGGACGGUACCUGGUGAAUAAGCCCCGGCUAACUACGUGCCAGCAGCCGCGGUAAGACGUAGGGGGCAAGCGUUGUCCGGAUUUACUGGGCGUAAAGGGCGCGUAGGCGGCCUGUUAAGUGUGAAGUGAAAUCUCCAGAGCUCAACUCGGAAACGGCUUCGCAUACUGGCAGGCUUGAGGAAUGCAGAGGUGAAUAGAAUUCCUGGUGUGGCGGUGAAAUGCGUAGAUAUCAGGAGGAAUACCCAUGGCGAAGGCAGUUCACUGGGCAUUAUCUGACGCUGAGGCGCGAAAGCGUGGGGAGCAAACAGGAUUAGAUACCCUGGUAGUCCACGCCCUAAACGAUGGAUGCUAGACGUAAGAGGUAUCGACCCCUCUUGUGUCGCAGCUAACGCAUUAAGCAUCCCGCCUGGGGAGUACGGCCGCAAGGUUGAAACUCAAAUGAAUUGACGGGGACCCGCACAAGCGGUGGAGCAUGUGGAUUAAUUCGAUACUAACCGA